AUGAACGCUGGCGGCGUGCCUAAUACCUGCAAGUCGAGCGAACAGACGAGGAGCCUGCUCCUCUGACGUUAGCGGCGGACGGGUGAGUAACACGUGGAUAACCUACCUAUAAGACUGGGAUAACUUCGGGAAACCGGAGCUAAUACCGGAUAAUAUAUUGAACCGCAUGGUUCAAUAGUGAAAGACGGUUUUGCUGUCACUUAUAGAUGGAUCCGCGCCGCAUUAGCUAGUUGGUAAGGUAACGGCUUACCAAGGCAACGAUGCGUAGCCGACCUGAGAGGGUGAUCGGCCACACUGGAACUGAGACACGGUCCAGACUCCUACGGGAGGCAGCAGUAGGGAAUCUUCCGCAAUGGGCGAAAGCCUGACGGAGCAACGCCGCGUGAGUGAUGAAGGUCUUCGGAUCGUAAAACUCUGUUAUUAGGGAAGAACAAAUGUGUAAGUAACUAUGCACGUCUUGACGGUACCUAAUCAGAAAGCCACGGCUAACUACGUG
This 496-nucleotide ribosomal RNA is filed under the name uncultured bacterium. RNAcentral's name for it is "partial 16S ribosomal RNA". It matches the Rfam family "Bacterial small subunit ribosomal RNA", at positions 29 to 507 of the family's 1533-position model. The record is from RNAcentral.